UGCAGUCGUAACAAGGUAACCAGAGCUUGCUCUCGGGUGACGAGCGGCGGACGGGUGAGUAAUGUCUGGGAAACUGCCUGAUGGAGGGGGAUAACUACUGGAAACGGUAGCUAAUACCGCAUAACGUCGCAAGACCAAAGUGGGGGACCUUCGGGCCUCAUGCCAUCAGAUGUGCCCAGAUGGGAUUAGCUAGUAGGUGGGGUAACGGCUCACCUAGGCGACGAUCCCUAGCUGGUCUGAGAGGAUGACCAGCCACACUGGAACUGAGACACGGUCCAGACUCCUACGGGAGGCAGCAGUGGGGAAUAUUGCACAAUGGGCGCAAGCCUGAUGCAGCCAUGCCGCGUGUGUGAAGAAGGCCUUCGGGUUGUAAAGCACUUUCAGCGGGGAGGAAGGCGAUAAGGUUAAUAACCUUGUCGAUUGACGUUACCCGCAGAAGAAGCACCGGCUAACUCCGUGCCAGCAGCCGCGGUAAUACGGAGGGUGCAAGCGUUAAUCGGAAUUACUGGGCGUAAAGCGCACGCAGGCGGUCUGUCAAGUCGGAUGUGAAAUCCCCGGGCUCAACCUGGGAACUGCAUUCGAAACUGGCAGGCUAGAGUCUUGUAGAGGGGGGUAGAAUUCCAGGUGUAGCGGUGAAAUGCGUAGAGAUCUGGAGGAAUACCGGUGGCGAAGGCGGCCCCCUGGACAAAGACUGACGCUCAGGUGCGAAAGCGUGGGGGAGCAACAGGAUUAGAUACCCUGGUAGUCCACGCCGUAAACGAUGU
Molecule: ribosomal RNA, 764 nt
Filed under: Klebsiella sp. HGA0162
Lineage: Bacteria; Pseudomonadati; Pseudomonadota; Gammaproteobacteria; Enterobacterales; Enterobacteriaceae
Description: bacterial SSU rRNA
Rfam family: Bacterial small subunit ribosomal RNA
Source: RNAcentral